Long non-coding RNA from Dermacentor albipictus, 890 nucleotides. RefSeq lists it as uncharacterized. Lineage: Eukaryota; Metazoa; Arthropoda; Arachnida; Ixodida; Ixodidae. The record is from RefSeq and is a predicted model, not a curated record.
UCCUGAGACCCCGCUAUGGGGAUUUGUCCAAUAUAUUGGACAUUUAGAAAUGAGACAGUACUCCUGUGACAAGGCUAUCAUCCUCGUAAAACCGCGCUGUCCAACUUACUGGACACCUGCUUGCGCCAUCUAUGCAGCAUUGAUGAAAAUACAUCGUUCAAAUUCCCGCCGAAACAGUUCCACAAUGGCGGCAUUCAGCGGCGCAGCGUUUUACGGCAGCUGCCGGAGAAAUUUGAGACCUAGGCCUCUCUACCUAUUGACAGCCUUGACCCUUGGGCCUCGGCGACAUCUUCGGCCUAAUGGAUUGUCUUGAGUUGGUCUUUCGGUGCACAGGACAACCGGCUUUAUAGUGGCACCGCGCGGACCGGAAGUGGUGUCGCGAAGCCUUCACAAGCCGGCCCAAUUUCUGGACGCAGAGCGGCAGCAGCCAUCAUUUACGUGCCCGACCACCGGUGGAAUGGCGCCGCAACUUCCACUCCUAAAACUUGAGCGUGGAGCUGCGCGAAAGGACGAAGCGACAAGAGCGGCAAAUGGCCGACCUGGAAGAAUUAAGCGAUUCACGACGCAACCGCGACCGCUGCGGGCGGAAGUAGGGCCGGCACACGAUGGAAGCGAGUCGCCGUGCGGUAUUUUGUAGGCACGCUUCGGAGAUUUAUCGCUAAACACACAGUGUAGGAGCACACACAGAGAGUUUUCACAUUCUGCCACCGUCCUAAGUGUCUUGUGCGUGCCACUUCGCCUUCGAAGGCACGGUGUUGUGUAAACAGAAAGGCGGCCGGUUUCCAAACAGCUUGCUUCACUAUCGCCUGAAGUUUCGUGCGUGGCGUCGCUUGAGGCAAGAUAUUUAAAUUCAUUUGCUCUAACGCGAUUGAAUAAAGUCAUGGAUAGGC